GACGGUUUUGGAGGCGCGUUGGCCAGAC
Molecule: small RNA, 28 nt
Filed under: Bombyx mori (domestic silkworm)
Lineage: Eukaryota; Metazoa; Arthropoda; Insecta; Lepidoptera; Bombycidae
Description: ovarian small RNA-15584
Source: RNAcentral